This 429-nucleotide ribosomal RNA is filed under the name Acidobacteriota bacterium. RNAcentral describes it as "Acidobacteria bacterium partial 16S ribosomal RNA". It matches the Rfam family "Bacterial small subunit ribosomal RNA", at positions 355 to 776 of the family's 1533-position model. The record is from RNAcentral. Lineage: Bacteria; Pseudomonadati; Acidobacteriota.
UGGGGAAUAUUGCACAAUGGGCGCAAGCCUGAUGCAGCCAUGCCGCGUGUAUGAAGAAGGCCUUCGGGUUGUAAAGUACUUUCAGCGGGGAGGAAGGGAGUAAAGUUAAUACCUUUGCUCAUUGACGUUACCCGCAGAAGAAGCACCGGCUAACUCCGUGCCAGCAGCCGCGGUAAUACGGAGGGUGCAAGCGUUAAUCGGAAUUACUGGGCGUGAAGCGCACGCAGGCGGUUUGUUAAGUCAGAUGUGAAAUCCCCGGGCUCAACCUGGGAACUGCAUCUGAUACUGGCAAGCUUGAGUCUCGUAGAGGGGGGUAGAAUUUCAGGUGUAGCGGUGAAAUGCGUAGAGAUCUGGAGGAAUACCGGUGGCGAAGGCGGCCCCCUGGACGAAGACUGACGCUCAGGUGCGAAAGCGUGGGGAGCAAACAGG